Molecule: ribosomal RNA, 253 nt
Filed under: uncultured bacterium
Lineage: Bacteria
Description: partial 16S ribosomal RNA
Rfam family: Bacterial small subunit ribosomal RNA
Source: RNAcentral
AAACCAAAGCUGGCGACCGGCGCACGGGUGAGUAACACGUAUCCAACCUGCCUCAUACUCGGGGAUAGCCUUUCGAAAGAAAGAUUAAUAUCCGAUAGCAUAUAUUUCCCGCAUGGGUUUUAUAUUAAAGAAAUUCGGUAUGAGAUGGGGAUGCGUUCCAUUAGUUUGUUGGGGGGUAACGGCCCACCAAGACUACGAUGGAUAGGGGUUCUGAGAGGAAGGUCCCCCACAUUGGAACUGAGACACGGUCCAA